UCAGGAAAGAUUUUUACAAACUGCCUAAAGAACUACCCUAUCUCAAACCCCUAAAUCCUGUUGACUUCUGAUCCAUAGCUGCUAUGGUCUAAUGUCUGGGUCACCUCAAAAUUCAUAUGUUGAACACCUAAUGCCCAAUGUAAUUAUGUUGGAAGUUAUUAGUGUCCUUAAAAAGCUAUGCCAGAGAGCUCCCUAGGCCCUUCUACCAUGUGAGGAUACAGACAGCAGACCCUGGCCAGACACUCCAUCUACUGGCACCUUGAUCUGGGACUUCCUAGCUUCAAAAACUACAAAAAAAAUAAAUUUCUGUUGUUUCUAAGCCACCAAGUGUCAGGUGUUUUGUUAGAGCUUAAACAUACUAAGACAAUAGCUUCAGUCAGCAAAGGUGGUCAUCAUGAUUUGGUUGUUCCUGGUCUAAAAUAAAGAUGAAUCUGGGCCUGAGUUGAUGAACACUAAAAACGAAUGUUUAUUGUCCUGCUCAGUGGUGCUCUGCUUGGCAACUUAAGUACAUUAUUACAUCUAAUGUUAAAUGGUAGCUAACAUUCAACAUAUGCUUGAAGAACUCUCUAAUGGUCAAUGUGAAUUUUAAACUAUACAGGAUUAAAUUAUUGGAAACACUUCUUUCAUUCCCCUUCCUCCUAUCCCACAAAUACAAACUGCUUAGUUACCAGACCAACUUGCAAAAAACAAAUCAGAUUUCAAGCAGGUAUUUUAGAAUAACCUGAACAUUAGGUAACUUUUUUUGAGUGACAGGUAGAUAUAUGCUAAAUGCUAUAGAUAGAAAACAGCCAAACACUCUGCAGGGAACCUUCCUGAUCCAAGAGUUUGCAUAUAUUCUGCCUUUUUUUUUUUUUCAAAUUCACAUAUUUUUUUAAAUAAGUGGUUUUUUAAAUGCUGCCAAUAUACCUGAAGAUGCCAGUCCAAUUUAGACAGAGAUGUAAAAGAUUGCCUCAAUUUGAGAAAGGCAACUGUCAAAAAUAAGAAGGUAUCCAGAAAAGUGUGAGAGGUUCUGGUCAGGUUUACUGUAAAUCUCAAUUGCUUCCAGUGCCAGACUUAGAUGCCUAUUAACUAAACUACAACUCAGGUCUUCAAAUUAUAAGGGACUUCCAAAACUGCAAAAGUUUUCCAAUAAAAGGAAACUUCUGAUGUUUAUGUGAGUUUACAUCAAUUUCUUCUAACCUUGUGAUAAGCUUUUGUGAGGCUCAGCUGUAGGCAGUGUGCUAUUAUAUUACAUCUUUUUCAGUUUUCAUGAAUUCCUCAAAGUUUAUUUGAAAAGACACGUGGUCUUCUUCCUCACAGUGCUUUAGCAUCAGCUCAAAGGCAGUUCUGCUUUUACCCUGAAACAAGUUAAACAUAUAUUUCUUUCAAAUACAAGUUUUCCUCCAUUGAGAAUUCAAAAGUAUUCUUGAUGUAUAGAGAAAGAAACAUCCUUGGACUUCAUCAAUAUGUGUGAAACGUGGCCAUUUUAAAGCUGUCAAUUUGCUUUCUUCUGGUAUAUUUGGAGAAAAGAUGCCUGGUUGGGAAAGUCAAGUGAAGUUACUAGAUUAGGUUCCAACAGAUUAAAGGAGAAUGUCAAUGAUCUCAAAGCCUGGAAUAUUAUUUCAAGCCAUUUUACCAGUUAAUUCCUAUGAUUCCUUUUGUUUUCAACAAUUUUUCUCCCACUGCACAACUUUCCAAAACUAAAUCCUGUGCUCUCAAUAGCAGACAGUGGUAAGGGAA
RNAcentral lists this long non-coding RNA (1719 nucleotides) under Sus scrofa (pig). RNAcentral describes it as "lncRNA (ENSSSCG00025013467.1)". The record is from RNAcentral. Lineage: Eukaryota; Metazoa; Chordata; Mammalia; Artiodactyla; Suidae.